This 514-nucleotide ribosomal RNA is filed under the name Vibrio sp. QPT_3_1. Its description in RNAcentral is "bacterial SSU rRNA". It matches the Rfam family "Bacterial small subunit ribosomal RNA", at positions 371 to 877 of the family's 1533-position model. RNAcentral also lists the same sequence under 2 other names. Lineage: Bacteria; Pseudomonadati; Pseudomonadota; Gammaproteobacteria; Vibrionales; Vibrionaceae. The record is from RNAcentral.
AUGGGCGCAAGCCUGAUGCAGCCAUGCCGCGUGUGUGAAGAAGGCCUUCGGGUUGUAAAGCACUUUCAGUCGUGAGGAAGGUGGUAGUGUUAAUAGCACUAUCAUUUGACGUUAGCGACAGAAGAAGCACCGGCUAACUCCGUGCCAGCAGCCGCGGUAAUACGGAGGGUGCGAGCGUUAAUCGGAAUUACUGGGCGUAAAGCGCAUGCAGGUGGUUUGUUAAGUCAGAUGUGAAAGCCCGGGGCUCAACCUCGGAAUAGCAUUUGAAACUGGCAGACUAGAGUACUGUAGAGGGGGGUAGAAUUUCAGGUGUAGCGGUGAAAUGCGUAGAGAUCUGAAGGAAUACCGGUGGCGAAGGCGGCCCCCUGGACAGAUACUGACACUCAGAUGCGAAAGCGUGGGGAGCAAACAGGAUUAGAUACCCUGGUAGUCCACGCCGUAAACGAUGUCUACUUGGAGGUUGUGGCCUUGAGCCGUGGCUUUCGGAGCUAACGCGUUAAGUAGACCGCCUGGG